Molecule: small nucleolar RNA, 138 nt
Organism: Tachyglossus aculeatus (Australian echidna)
Lineage: Eukaryota; Metazoa; Chordata; Mammalia; Monotremata; Tachyglossidae
Source: RefSeq, a predicted model, not a curated record
CUCCUCUCAGGGUCACACCUGGCGAGUUUCCAGUACUCUGCCAGUCUUGACUGUGGGAGGGAGAGUCAAGCAGAAGUAUAUCCACUCCAUUCCUAGCUUGGGCGGUGGCUAGCGAGUGGAAGGCAAUCUGCUACAAGU